This 17209-nucleotide long non-coding RNA is filed under the name Triticum aestivum (bread wheat). RNAcentral's name for it is "long non-coding RNA (TAES_LNC005030)". The record is from RNAcentral. Lineage: Eukaryota; Viridiplantae; Streptophyta; Magnoliopsida; Poales; Poaceae.
GCUGACGACGACCAAGAGUAGUUUAGGAGGAUCCCAGGCAGGAGGCAUGCGCCUCUUUCGAUCUGUAUCCCAGUUUGUGCUAGCCUUCUUAAGGCAAACUUGUUUAACUUAUGUCUGUACUCAGAUAUUGUUGCUUCCGCUAACUCGUCUAUGACCAAGCUCUUGUAUUCGAGCCCUCGAGGCCCCUGGCUUGUAAUAUGAUGCUUGUAUGACUUAUUUUAUUUGUAGAGUUGUGUUGUGAUAUCUUCCCGUGAGUCCCUGAUCUUGAUCGUACACGUUUGCUUGUAUGAUUUGUGUAUGGUUGAAUCGGGGGCGUCACAAGUUGGUAUCAGAGCCGACUGCCUGUAGGAAUCCCCCUUCCACACUCCUUGGCCGAGGUUGAGUCUAGACAUUACCAAAAACUUUUACUAACAUGGAUGUCUGCCUUACGUGCCCACGUCGCCAUUGUUGGAAAUAUGCCCUAGAGGCAAUAAUAAAAUCAUUAUUAUUAUAUUUCCUUGUUCAUGAUAAUUGUCUUUAUUCAUGCUAUAAUUGUGUUAUCCGGAAAUCGUAAUACAUGUGUGAAUAACAGACACCAACAUGUCCCUAGUAAGCCUCUAGUUGACUAGCUCGUUGAUCAACAGACAGUCAUGGUUUCCUGACUAUGGACAUUGGAUGUCAUUGAUAACGAGAUCACAUCAUUAGGAGAAUGAUGUGAUGGACAAGACCCAAUCCUAAACAUAGCAUAAAGAUCAUAUAGUUCGUUUGCUAGAGUUUUUCCAAUGUCAAGUAUCUUUUCCUUAGACCAUGAUAUCGUGUAACUCCCGGAUACCGUAGGAGUGCUUUGGGUAUACCAAACGUCACAACGUAACUGGGUGACUAUAAAGGUAGACUACGGGUAUCUCCGAAAGUAUCUGUUGGGUUGACACGGAUCAAGUCUGGGAUUUGUCACUCCGUAUGACGGAGAGGUAUCACUGGGCCCACUCAGUAAUGCAUCAUCAUAAUGAGCUCAAAGUAACCAAGUGUCUGGUCACGGGAUCAUGCAUUACGGUACGAGUAAAGUGACUUGCCGGGAACGAGAUUGAACGAGGUAUUGGGAUACCGACGAUCGAAUCUCGGCCAAGUAACAUAUCGAUUGACAAAGGGAAUUGCAUACGGGGUUGCUUGAAUCCUCGACAUCGUGGUUCAUCCGAUGAGAUCAUCGUGGAGCAUGUGGGAGCCAACAUGGGUAUCCAGAUCCCGCUGUUGGUUAUUGACUGGAGAGUCGUCUCGGUCAUGUCUGCCUGUCUCCCGAACUCGUAGGGUCUACACACUUAAGGUUCAGUGACGCUAGGGUUGUGAAGAUAUGUAUAUGCAGUAACCCGAAUGUUGUUCGGAGUCCCGGAUGAGAUCCCGGACGUCACGAGGAGUUCCGGAAUGGUCCGGAGGUAAAGAAUUAUAUAUAGGAAGUGCUAUUUCGGCCAUCGGGACAAGUUUCGGGGUCACCGGUAUUGUACCGGGACCACCGAAAGGGUCCCGGGGGUCUACCGGGUGGGGCCACCUGCCCCGGGGGGCCACAUGGGCUGUAGGGGGUGCGCCUUGGCCUAUAUGGGCCAAGGGCACUAGCCCCAAAAGGGCCCAUGCGCCUAGGGUUUUGGGGAAACCCUAAAAGGGGGCGCCCCCUUGCUUGGGGGGCAAGCCCCCCACCCCUUGGCCGCCGCCCCCUAGGAGAUUGGAUCUCCUAGGGCCGGCUCCCCCCCCUAGACACCCCUAUAUAUAGUGGGGGAGAUGGAGGACAUCAAACCUCAGCCUUUUGGCGCCUCCCUCUCCCCUGUUACAUCUCUCUCUCGUAGUAUAGGCGAAGCCCUGCUACUGUGAGGCCCUGCAUCCACCACCACGCCGUCGUGCUGUUGGAUCUUCAUCAACUUCUCCUUCCCCCUUGCUGGAUCAAGAAGAAGGAGACGUUACGCUGACCGUACGUGUGUUGAACGCGGAGGUACCGUCCGUUCGGUGCUAGGAUCUCCGGUGAUUUGGAUCACGUCGUGUUCGACUACCUCAUCCCCGUUCUUUGAACGCUUCCGCUCGCGAUCUACAAAGGUAUGUAGAUGCAUCCGAUCACUCGUUGCUAGAUGAACUCAUAGAUGGAUCUUGGUGAAGCCAUAGGAAAUUUUUUGUUUUCUGCAACGUUCCCCAACAGUGGCAUCAUGAGCUAGGUCUAUGCGUAGUUCUUCUUGCGCGAGUAGAACACAAUUUGUUGUGGGCAUAGAUGUUGUCAACUUUCUUGCCGUUACUAGUCUUAUCUUGCUUCAACGGUAUUGUGGGAUGAAGCGGCCCGGACCAACCUUACACGUACGCUUACGUGAGACCGGUUCCACCGACUAACAUGCACUAGUUGCAUAAGGUGGCUGGCGGGUGUCUGUCUCUCCUACUUUAGUUGGAACGAUUCAAUGAAAAGGGUCCUUAUGAAGGGUAAAUAGAAGUUGACAAAUCACGUUGUGGCUUUCACGUAGGUAAGAAAACGUUCUUGCUAGAACCCUACUUCAGCCACGUAAAACUUGCAACAACAAUUAGAGGACGUCUAACUUGUUUCUGCAGCAAGUGCUUUGUGAUAUGAUAUGGCCAAAGUUGUGAUGAAUUAUGAAUGAUAUAUAUGUGAUGUAUGAGUUGUUCAUGCUAUUGUAAUAGGAAUCACGACUUGCAUGUCGAUGAGUAUGACAACCGGCAGGAGCCAUAGGAGUUGUCUUUAUUUUUGUAUGACCUGCGUGUCAUUGAGAAACGCCAUGUAAAUUACUUUACUUUAUUGCUAAAUGCGUUAGCCAUAGUAGUAGAAGUAAUAGUUGGCGAGCAACUUCAUGGAGACACGAUGAUGGAGAUCAUGAUGAUGGAGAUCAUGGUGUCAAGCUGGUGACAAGAUGAUCAUGGAGCCCCAAGAUGGAGAUCAAAGGAGCUAUGUGAUAUUGGCCAUAUCAUGUCACGUUUAUUAUUUGAUUGCAUGUGAUGUUUAUCAUGUUUUGCAUCUUGUUUACUUAGAACGACGGUAGUAAAUAAGAUGAUCCCUCAUAAUAAUUUCAAGAAGUGUUCCCCCUAACUGUGCACCGUUGAGACAGUUUGUUGUUUCAAUGCACCACGUGAUGAUCGGGUGUUUGAUCCAAACGUUCACAUACAACGGGUGUAAGACAGAUUUACACAUGCAAACACUUAGGUUGACUUGACGAGCCUAGCAUGUACAGACAUGGCCUCGGAACACAGAAGACCGAAAGGUCGAGCAUGAGUCGUAUAGAAGAUACGAUCAACAUGAAGAUGUUCACCGAUGUUGACUAGUCCGUCUCACGUGAUGAUCGGACACGGCCUAGUUGACUCGGAUCAUGUUAUACUUAGAUGACUAGAAGAGGGAUGUCUAUCUAAGUGGGAGUUCAUUGAAUAAUUUGAUUAGAUGAACUUAAUUAUCAUGAACUUAGUCUAAAAUAUUUACAAUAUGUCUUGUAGAUCAAAUGGCCAACAUAGUCCUCAACUUCAACGCAUUCCUAGAGAAAACCAAGCUGAAAGACGAUGGCAGCAACUAUACGGACUGGGUCCGGAACCUGAGGAUCAUCCUCAUAGCUGCCAAGAAAGAUUAUGUCCUACAAGCACCGCUAGGUGACCCGCCUGUCCCACAGAACCAAGACGUUAUGAAUGUUUGGCAGACACGUGCUGAUGACUACUCCCUCGUUCAGUGCGGCAUGCUUUACAGUUUAGAGCCGGGGCUCCAAAAGCGUUUUGAGAGACAUGGAGCAUAUGAGAUGUUCAAAGAGCUGAAAAUGGUUUUUCAAGCUCAUGCCCGGGUCGAGAGAUAUGAAGUCUCCGACAAAUUCUUUAGCUGUAAGAUGGAGGAAAAUAGUUCUGUCAGUGAGCACAUACUCACUAUGUCUGGGUUACAUAACCGCUUGACUCAGCUGGGAGUUAAUCUCCCGGAUGAUGCGGUCAUUGACAGAAUCCUCCAGUCGCUUCCACCAAGCUACAAGAGCUUUGUGAUGAACUUCAAUAUGCAGGGGAUGGAAAAGACCAUUCCUGAGGUAUUUGCAAUGCUGAAAUCAGCAGAGGUAGAAGUCAAGAAGGAACAUCAAGUGUUGAUGGUCAAUAAAACCACUAAGUUCAAGAAGGGCAAGGGUAAAAAGAACUUCAAGAAGGACGGCAAGGGAGUUGCCGCGCCCGGCAAGCAAGCUACUGGGAAGAAGCCAAAGAAUGGACCCAAGCCCGAGACUGAGUGCUUCUAUUGCAAGGGAAGUGGUCACUGGAAGCGGAACUGCCCCAAAUACUUAGCAGACAAGAAGGCCGGCAAAACAAAAGGUAUAUAUGAUAUACAUGUAAUUGAUGUGUACCUUACUAGUACCCGUAGUAGCUCCUGGGUAUUUGAUACCGGUGCAGUUGCUCACAUUUGUAACUCAAAGCAGGGGCUGUGGAAUAAGCGGAGACUGGCAAAGGACGAGGUGACGAUGCGCGUCGGGAAUGGUUCCAAGGUCAAUGUGAUCGCCGUCGGCACGCUACCUCUAUAUUUGCCUUCGGGAUUAGUUUUAAACCUUAAUAAUUGUUAUUUAGUGCCAGCUUUGAGCAUGAACAUUGUAUCGGGAUCUCGUUUAAUUCGAGAUGGCUACUCAUUUAAAUCCGAGAAUAAUGGUUGUUCUAUUUAUAUGAGAGAUAUGUUUUAUGGUCAUGCUCCUAUGGUGAAUGGUUUAUUCUUAAUGAAUCUCGAGCGUAACGCUACACAUAUUCAUAGUGUGAGUACCAAAAGAUGUAAGGUUGAUAAUGAUAGUCCCACAUAUUUGUGGCACUGCCGCCUUGGUCACAUAGGUGUCAAACGCAUGAAGAAGCUCCAUGCCGAUGGACUUUUAGAGUCUCUUGAUUAUGAAUCAUUUGACACGUGCGAACCAUGCCUCAUGGGUAAAAUGACCAAGACUCCGUUCUCAGGAACAAUGGAGCGAGCAACCAACUUAUUGGAAAUCAUACAUACUGAUGUGUGCGGUCCAAUGAGCGUUGAGGCUCGCGGUGGCUAUCGUUAUGUUCUCACCCUCACUGAUGACUUGAGUAGAUAUGGGUAUAUCUACUUAAUGAAACACAAGUCUGAAACCUUUGAAAAGUUCAAGGAAUUUCAGAGUGAGGUUGAGAAUCAACGUGACAGGAAGAUCAAGUUUCUACGAUCAGAUCGUGGAGGAGAAUACUUGAGUCACGAAUUUGGCACACACUUAAGAAAAUGUGGAAUAGUUUCACAACUCACGCCGCCUGGAACACCUCAGCGUAAUGGUGUGUCCGAACGUCGUAAUCGCACUUUAUUAGAUAUGGUGCGAUCUAUGAUGUCUCUUACCGAUUUACCGCUAUCUUUUUGGGGCUAUGCUUUAGAGACUGCCGCAUUCACUUUAAAUAGGGCUCCGUCGAAAUCCGUUGAGACGACACCGUAUGAAUUAUGGUUUGGGAAGAAACCUAAGCUGUCGUUUCUAAAAGUUUGGGGAUGCGAUGCUUAUGUCAAGAAACUUCAACCUGAAAAGCUCGAACCCAAGUCGGAAAAAUGCGUCUUCAUAGGAUACCCUAAAGAAACUGUUGGGUAUACCUUCUACCUCAGAUCCGAAGGCAAGAUCUUUGUUGCCAAGAAUGGAUUCUUUCUAGAGAAAGAGUUUCUCUCGAAAGAAGUAAGUGGGAGGAAAGUAGAACUUGAUGAAGUAUUGCCUCUUGAACCGGAAAAUGGCGCAACUCAAGAAAAUGUUCCUGAGGUGCCUGCACCGACUAGAGAGGAAGUUAAUGAUAAUGAUCAAGAUACUUCUGAUCAAGCUCCUACUGAAAUUCGAAGGUCCACAAGGACACGUUCCGCACCAGAGUGGUACGGCAACCCUGUCUUGGAAAUCAUGUUGUUAGACAACGGUGAACCUUCGAACUAUGAAGAAGCGAUGGCGGGCCCGGAUUCCGACAAAUGUCUAGAAGCCAUGAAAUCCGAGAUAGGAUCCAUGUAUGAAAACGAAGUAUGGACUUUGACUGACUUGCCCGUUGAACGGCGAGCCAUAGAAAAUAAAUGGAUCUUUAAGAAGAAGACAGACACGGAUGGUAAUGUGACCAUCUAUAAAGCUCGGCUUGUCGCUAAGGGUUAUCGACAAGUUCAAGGGGUUGACUACGAUGAGACUUUCUCACCGGUAGCGAAGCUAAAGUCCGUCCGAAUCAUGUUAGAAAUUGCCGCAUUUUACGAUUAUGAGAUAUGGCAAAUGGACGUCAAAACGGCAUUCCUUAAUGGUUUCCUUAAGGAAGAAUUGUAUAUGAUGCAGCCGGAAGGUUUUGUCGAUUAUAAGAAUGCUGACAAAGUGUGCAAGCUCCAACGCUCGAUUUAUGGGUUGGUGCAAGCAUCUCGGAGUUGGAACACUCGCUUUGAUGAGAUGAUCAAAGCGUUUGGGUUUACGCAGACUUAUGGAGAAGCCUGCGUUUACGAGAAAGUGAGUGGGAGCUCUGUAGCAUUUCUCAUAUUAUAUGUAGAUGACAUACUUUUGAUGGGAAAUGAUAUAGAACUCUUGGACAGCAUCAAGGCCUACUUGAAUAAGAGUUUUUCAAUGAAGGACCUUGGAGAAGCUGCUUAUGUAUUAGGCAUCAAGAUCUAUAGAGAUAGAUCAAGACGCCUCAUAGGUCUUUCACAAAGCACAUACCUUGAUAAGAUAUUGAAGAAGUUCAAUAUGGAUCAGUCUAAGAAGGGGUUCUUGCCUGUGUUACAAGGUAUGAAAUUGAGCUCAGCUCAAUGUCCGACCACGGCAGAAGAUAUAGAAGAGAUGAGUGUCAUCCCCUAUGCCUCAGCCAUAGGUUCUAUUAUGUAUGCCAUGCUGUGUACCAGACCUGAUGUAAACCUUGCCGUAAGUUUGGUAGGAAGGUACCAAAGUAAUCCCGGCAAGGAACACUGGACAGCGGUCAAGAAUAUCCUGAAGUACCUGAAAAGGACUAAGGAAAUGUUUCUCGUUUAUGGAGGUAACGAAGAGCUCGUCGUAAAGGGUUACGUCGAUGCUAGCUUCGACACAGAUCUGGAUGACUCUAAGUCACAAACCGGAUACGUGUAUAUUUUGAAUGGUGGGGCAGUAAGCUGGUGCAGUUGCAAGCAGAGCAUCGUAGCGGGAUCUACAUGUGAAGCGGAGUACAUGGCAGCCUCGGAGGCAGCACAUGAAGCAAUAUGGGUGAAGGAGUUCAUCACCGACCUAGGAGUCAUACCCAAUACGUCGGGGCCAAUCAAACUCUUUUGUGACAACACUGGAGCUAUUGCACUUGCCAAGGAGCCCAGGUUUCACAAGAAGACAAGGCACAUCAAGCGUCGCUUCAACUCCAUUCGUGAAAAUGUUCAAGAUGGAGACAUAGAGAUUUGUAAAGUACAUACGGACCUGAAUGUAGCAGAUCCGUUGACUAAACCUCUCCCUAGGGCAAAACAUGAUCAACACCAGAAUUCCAUGGGUGUUCGAUUCAUCACAAUGUAAACUAGAUUAUUGACUCUAGUGCAAGUGGGAGACUGUUGGAAAUAUGCCCUAGAGGCAAUAAUAAAAGCAUUAUUAUUAUAUUUCCUUGUUCAUGAUAAUUGUCUUUAUUCAUGCUAUAAUUGUGUUAUCCGGAAAUCGUAAUACAUGUGUGAAUAACAGACACCAACAUGUCCCUAGUAAGCCUCUAGUUGACUAGCUCAUUGAUCAACAGAUAGUCAUGGUUUCCUGACUAUGGACAUUGGAUGUCAUUGAUAACGAGAUCACAUCAUUAGGAGAAUGAUGUGAUGGACAAGACCCAAUCCUAAACAUAGCAUAAAGAUCGUAUAGUUCGUUUGCUAGAGUUUUUCCAAUGUCAAGUAUCUUUUCCUUAGACCAUGAGAUCGUGUAACUCCCAGAUACCGUAGGAGUGCUUUGGGUAUACCAAACGUCACAACGUAACUGGGUGACUAUAAAGGUAGACUACGGGUAUCUCCGAAAGUAUUUGUUGGGUUGACACAGAUCAAGACUGGGAUUUGUCACUCCGUAUGACGGAGAGGUAUCACUAGGCCCACUCAAUAAUGCAUCAUCAUAAUGAGCUCAAAGUAACCAAGUGUCUGGUCACGGGAUCAUGCAUUACGGUACGAGUAAAGUGACUUGCCGGUAACGAGAUUGAACGAGGUAUUGGGAUACCGACGAUCGAAUCUCGGGCAAGUAACAUAUCGAUUGACAAAGGGAAUUGCAUACGGGGUUGCUUGAAUCCUUGACAUCGUGGUUCAUCCGAUGAAAUCAUCGUGGAGCAUGUGGGAGCCAACAUAGGUAUCCAGAUCCCGCUGUUGGUUAUUGACCGGAGAGUCGUCUCGGUCAUGUCUGCCUGUCUCCCGAACCCGUAGGGUCUACACGCUUAAGGUUCGGUGACGCUAGGGUUGUGAAGAUAUGUAUAUGCAGUAACCCGAAUGUUGUUCAGAGUCCCGGAUGAGAUCCCGGACGUCACGGGGAGUUCCGGAAUGGUCCGGAGGUAAAUAAUUAUAUAUAGGAAGUGCUAUUUCAGCCAUCGGGACAAGUUUCGGGGUCACCGGUAUUGUACCGGGACCACCGGAAGGGUCCCGGGGGUCCACCGGGUGGGGCCACCUGCCCCGGGGGGCCACAUGGGCUGUAGGGGGUGCGCCUUGGUCUAUAUGGGCCAAGGGCACCAGCCCCAAAAGGGCCCAUGCGCCUAGGGUUUUGGGGAAACCCUAAAAGGGGGCGCCCCCUUGCUUGGGGGGCAAGCCCCCCACCCCUUGGCCGCCGCCCCCUAGGAGAUUGGAUCUCCUAGGGCCGGCUCCCCCCCUAGACACCCCUAUAUAUAGUGGGGGAGAUGGAGGACAUCAAACCUCAGCCUUUUGGCGCCUCCCUCUCCCCUGUUACAUCUCUCUCUCGUAGUAUAGGCGAAGCCCUGCUACUGUGACGCCCUGCAUCCUCCACCACGCCAUCGUGCUGUUGGAUCUUCAUCAACUUCUCCUUCGCCCCUUGCUGGAUCAAGAAGAAGGAGACGUUACGCUGACUGUACGUGUGUUGAACGCGGAGGUACCGUCCGUUCGGUGCUAGGAUCUCCGGUGAUUUGGAUCACGUCGUGUUUGACUACCUCAUCCCCGUUCUUUGAACGCUUCCACUCGCGAUCUACAAAGGUAUGUAGAUGCAUCCGAUCACUCGUUGCUAGAUGAACUCAUAGAUGGAUCUUGGUGAAGCCGUAGGAAAUUUUUUGUUUUCUGCAACGUUCCCCAACAACCAUCUGGGUGGUAUUAGGAUCUUUUAUUCCUCGACCUAUACUCUGGGACUCUGACAUCUCUUCUUUUCGGGUUAAAUGAAUUUACUAAAACUCUAACAUUAGGUUCUUGUAAAUACUUUCUCCCGGAGAGCCCCUUCAAUCCAGAUGAUUGUUGGCUGCACCAGAAUAUUUUGAAGAUACUCUCCGAUGUUUCCCUGAGACCCUUGUGCCCUUCGCCGUUGCACUUCCAUACCACCGAUAAAUCCCUAUGGAAAGCUACAUACACUUGUCAUCCAUAACUUCAUUUCCAAUUGUUGUUGUUAUUACAAGAUACCCUAAAAUACUUUGGAUAUUCCGAGGAUUCUUUGUGUUGUCUUGCGGGUCCUUUUCCUCAUUAAUACAUGUAUGAAUAAUUCCUUGCAUUUACCAGGGAUUCGUUCAUCCCCGGUUGUUCAGGUGUUUCGCAAAAUUCUUCGAAAUGCCAUUCGAUCUUCCAAAAUCCUCAGUAGCCUAUUGCUCUUGAUCUUCUUUACCUACUUGCAUAAUGGUUAAUUCCAUAUGUCAAGCAAUAUUCGUUAAAAUCCUUGUGAUGAACAUUCUGACCAUAUUGAUUCAGCAAGUGUGCGAAUGCACGCAAUCAUCAGUUGAUCCUUAUAAAUUAUUUUUCUGGCUCGGAUGUCUUCCCGAACAUGAGCUGGUUCUCAACCAUUCAAAUAGUGUCAAUUUUACCCCUAAGGCUAUUCAACUUAUCCAACCCUAAUCAGAGUGUUGCUUCUGAUCCCUUGAUUUGAAAAUCAUAAUUCCGUUGCAUUUGAGCUUAAAUUAGUCAGUUGUUUCUAUGGUCUGAUCUUCUUACCUUUUUCCUUCUUCUGGUUGAGUACCGAUGCUCACCUCAGAUCCCUUGUGGACCACCAAAUCCUUUGUUGGAUUUUAUUAGACACCGUCCUUCAUAUUCAUUAAACAUUGUGAGCUUUUCUUCGGAUACAUAAUGCCUUUGGUAAAUUGUAUCCUCUACUUUGUGAACCAUGCUCUACUUUCGAACUUGCAUUAUUUACUCCGAAGUUUGUGAUAUAUGUUCCUAAGAUUCCCUGAUGGGUUGAACCUAUGCCUCCCCUAAUCCGUGUGAACCCAAAAGAUUUCACGGGUCAUACUUAUCUGGUAUUGCACCAGGUAAAACUUUCAACAACUAAUGUCAUUUUAGAAAAGCGAGAGGUGAAUGGAAGGUUAUACAUUGAAGAAGUGGGAGUCGACCUUGAACCUUGUGUUCAUGCCCAUGGACAUGAUGUAGAUCUUAUCAUGAAAGCUUCUCUUAAAUUAAUUAUUCCCCGGGUAUAAGUUCACCUUAUAUCUGGUAUCUGGCCUUUGCAAGCGUGGUUCCGUCCAUGUUCUCCUUUAAAUACCAUUUCUCGUGCAAGUUUAAGCACUUGUCUUCUGCAGAGAAAUGACCUAGUCCAACCUCUACUUUGAUCUAUCGUCGAGCAUUACCCCCUGGUAUCUCGAGAUUAUCAUGGAACUGCAUAACCUCUUAUGAGUUCUUCAUCAAGUAUUACAUUCUCACUGAUUCCAAUUUUCACGGGCUCUGAGUUAUGAAACACUCAAAGACAUCAGUAACUGAACCGAGUCCGACUAUGGUUAAACAACUCUUAGUAAUCUUAUUUACGUACGAGUUUGUACCCGAUCACACCAUUCCUAGCCUGUUUGGCUGUAAUAUUGUCGUGAUGAUUUUAACUAUGCUACCUGGUCCUACUUCUCGGAACACAAAUUUUGACGAUGAGCUAAUCUUACAUCGAUCUUCCUCGUCAUAUCAUUUCUCCUUGAACAACAAACUUGAUUUCGAGUUUGUGUCGUACCCAUGGUUCCAAUAACAUUUCGCUUCAUCAUCCCUUCAACUUGAUGUCAUCGCCGAUCGAUUACAUCUUCAUGAGGUCUCUUGACAAAUGUGUCGUGAUCAUCAUCAGCAUUCUGAGCUCUUCCAGUAUAUCAAUUGAAUUCUUGAUGAGAAAUACCAUCCUUGCCCCUCAAUGAUUUGUGUUAUCAUGAACAACUUUAUUGCAUUCCCUCCAACACAAACUUGUUCAUGUUAUGGAGCUCCUUGCUAUCCAGAAUUUGUUCUUUACCUUGGAGUAUUACCAUCUUUUAGGUCAAGAAUGUCAUGAGAAUUUCACCACCUCUUAAGAAUUCUUGAUACAGGUGAUACUUCUUGCCAUAUCCAUUCACUUCUAGCAACCCUAUUGCUUUGAAGAUUAAUGGUCGAUGUUUCACUCUAAGUCUAUUGCUUAUUGAAUCAUCAUUCAAACAUUGAUCGUGCUACCUAGUCCAGAUUUCCGGGUGCACCCUUCUAUCAUUGUUAAAUUGUGUAUGUUUUCCUCGAGCAUACAUCAUUAUAUCAUUUGAUCCGACAAAUGUUAUCUCCUUGUUCACAUAAUUGUGGAAAUCCAUCCUUUGGAAAUCUCGAUGAUUUGUCGCUGAGUCCAUCAGCCACCUCCUCAUCCUCUCCUUGGUUUACUGAUGAACUCUUGUUUCAGAACUCACUUCCAUAGUUCAUUUCCCGAGAAUCUUAUGCCGACUUCUCGUCAAUUCGUGUUGCACCUUUCUAUCUCAGGGUCCUGAGUCUGAGGUAUCCUGGCACCAAUCAGAUCUGAAUCUUGGUCAGAUAUGAUGGUUGGGGCAUAUUUCCAAGAGUUAUAACAUUGGUCCUUAUAUACCGGUAAGGUGAUGUCAUGCCUAGCACACCUGGCCGGAGGACCUAUUGUUAUAGUUCUUCCUUUUAGCAAGAUUAUCCAUUCUUCCAUGAGGAAAUUGUAAGGCUUAUUCUACAAUUGUUCCUGAUGGAUCCUUCGUGUAUCCGAAGUGUAACCUUUGCUUGACGACCAUGUCAAUGCUAUCUCGAAGCAUGUCUAUGAUACUCCAAUUUUCAACAAGAACAUUUGAAGCCCAAUGCUAAAUGUUUCCUGCUCAAUUAUCCAAACACCGCUGUAUGGGUAAUGUCAUGAAAUUUCUCUCCCCUGCCUAAGGAGUUUUCUACAUUAUAUCUUGUCAUGGAUAGCAUGCACUGCUUGUCCUUGGGAAGGAUAUACCCUUGAAAAAUGUGUUUAAACACAUUUUCCUUUCCAUUGUUCUGUUUAAUCUGAUAAUCAUAUUUUUCCUUUCCAUUGGUUGGUUUAACGUUUCUUGUGAUCUAUAUGAUAUAAUCAGUAAUAAUUCCCUGCUUGUGCAAACAUCUUGGUGUACAACUCUAUCAGUAAGACCCUGUUACUAUUGUUGAUGACAUUCCGGUAACCACCGAUGGAUGAGAACCUUGCCUAUUGGUCCGCCUCGUUCAACGAGCAGGAAAAUGGUUCUCUUUGUCCCUCGCCCUUAAUACCGAUGUUGUUUCUGACAUAACUGACAGGGUAUUCUCUGACAUGCCUUGCUAUCAUGACUGUGCAAGAGGUCAGCGCCCUUCCUAUUUUUAACCCACAUGGUGGGCCCAUAACCCACAGUUCCACAUGAUCGAAACCUGACUCUCCUGUACACCCCUUUCCCAAAGUCAAUAUGCACGCUUGGCUUCGUGUGUAAUUCACGAGCCACCUUCCUAGUGAUGUGUUCCGGUAUCAGAUGCAAUACUUAUUCUUAAUGCUCUGAGCCCCUUUCACACCCUGUUUCAGACAUCAAAUGAUUGUUUAUCCGUUUGGAACUUCUCAUGGUACCUUCUAACUUUGCUCUCGAUAUCUUCUUAAGUUUCAAUUCGAGAGGUACUUAUGCUUCUUCCCAUGAGUUAUCCGCCCGAUGCUAAUCUGGUUAGAACCCGUCCUUAUAGAGUUUUUCCCCUCUUAUCCUUUCGUAAGUUCAGUGAAGAUCCUAAAGGCAGGACGACAAUUUCAUCAUGAUGCAUUGAUGCAUAGGAAUGAAGGCAUCAAUGUAAUGGAUUGACCUCUUCGAGAAAGCAACCAAGACUCAGAAGAUUCCUUAGAAUUUCGUAACCAGAUAUUUCCUCCUUACUCCCGCUCCUAAAUCUCGGGACGGGAUUUCUUGUAGUGGAGGAGAAUUGUGACGCCCGGAUAAUUAAGCUACAGUAAACCUCUCUUAAUGAUGCCACGUCACCACGGUUACUGUUCCUAAUCUCGCGUUAGUUCGAAACCGAUUUGAAAUUCAGAUUCAAAAUUAAGCAAACAAUAAAAGUUUUCAAAUAUUAAAACUAAAAUGUUCGGAGUGAGCCAAAUAAUGCAUAGUUAAUUAUGGUGUAGAAACCUCACCUUCAUAAUUUUUUUAAAAACUAUUAGAUGAAUGAAACAGUAGCGAAACCUAUUAUCUAAAUACUUUUAAAUACUAAAUAAUUACGAAACUAUUUUAGUUUGGGUAGCAAGUUAUUGUGGCAUUAGAACAAAUAGUAAUACUAUUUUAGGAACUAAUUUUAUAUUUUAUAAAACUAUAAUAAAUAGAAAAUAAAACAUAAUAGUAUAAAGCAUGAAUAAAAGAAAAGAGAAACAAAACAACAGACCUAAUCUACCCAACUUGGCCCAUCUAACUGAAACCAACCCAACUCCCCCUCUCAUCAUCCACCUCCUGUUCACAGGAGGCUGGGUGGCUUCCCCUCACACGUCCAUGGCCGUGGAUGGCCACGUGCCGGCCAUCCAGCUCCUCCCCGUCACCUACAAGUCCUCCCCCGACCACCCAGGCCGAACCCUAGCGUUCUUUCCCUCUCCCCGUUGCGCCGCUUUCCUCUUCCGCAUACAUGGCCGAACCACCACCGCUAAGCUCUUCGUCGACCCCACUCCACUUCCCUCGUCGUCGGCGUCGUUUCCGGCGACCAUUGGAUGAGCCACCUACACCCAACAACGAGGCAUCGCACGGCCGUUCGAACGGACCACGCCGUGCCCAGCAACCCCGACUCCGUCCACGCCCGGCUCACCGCUGCAUCCUCUGCGCCUCGCCACACCCACCGGAAACUGCCCGUGCCCGCAUGCCUCCUCCCCCGCGCUCAAUCCUUGCGCCCGUGGCCGCGCCCCCGGUCGCCUCCUGCUGUUGUGCUCCAGCCGCGCUGCUCCCUCCUCGCGCGUCACCGCCCACCUACAGCCGCUCGCUGCCGUCUUUCCCGCUUGCCUCUGCUGCUUGCGCCGCUGUGGUCGCUCCCUACCUGCGCCCGUGCAGCCUCGACCGCCGCUGCCGCCGCGUACUGUUGUUGCCGAUGCGCCUGUCGCCUAGUCCGCCCGCGCCCCCUGCGCCGCGCGUGGCUGCCGCCGACCGCCGCCCCGCUCCCCUGCUGCGCUGCUGCAGUGGCUACUGCCGCCGGCCGCCAGCUGCUGCUGCUGGCCAUGGGCGUCAUGGCCCCAUGCCCGGCGUGCGUCUUGGCGAUGGCCCCUGCUGACUCUUGCGUUGACUAGGGGCUGGCCUUUUAGUUAGUACUAACCCCCCUUUACUAACUAGCCCUGUUAGUUAAUAGGUGUAUGAUAGUGGGCCCCCACCACCAAGGUAAAAACUAGUUUAAACCAGUCCUAUUAUCACAUUAGUCAAUGACAGGUGGACCCCCUCCCUGACAGUUGACUGGUCAACUUUGACUUUGACUGCUGACUUGGCAGUUGACUGGGCCCACUGGUCAGCCUCACCGGUGCACCUCUGGUGCACUGCACCGGAUGCACCAAGUUUUUAACUACUGAUUUUUUAAAUUAAAAAUAAAUAAGAAAUUCUAGAAAUUAUUUUAAAACUUCAAAAAAUCAUAUAAAAUAAACCAUAUCUCGGAUGAAAAUAAUUUAUAUAUGAAAGUUGCUCAGAACGAGGAGACGAAUCCGGAUACGUAGCCCGUUCGUCCGCCACGCAUACCUAGCAUAGCGAACACGCAACUUCCCCCCUCCGAUUCAUCUGUCCAAAAACGCAAAACACCGGGGAUAUUUUCCCGGAUGUUUCUCCCCUUCACUAGUACCACCUCAUACCGCGUUAGGGCACACCUAGCUUCACGCUUUGUCAUGUCAUGCGUCGCUAUGCAUCUGUUUGCUUAAUAUUUAUUGUUUCUUCCCCCUCUUCUCUCGCUAGAUACAGAGACUGAUGCCGCUGCUAGCCGGUACGACUACGGUGUUGACGACACCUCUCUCUUGCCAGAGCAACCAGGCAAGCCCCCCCCCCCUUGAUCACCAGAUAUCGCCUACUCUCCUCUAUACUUCUUGCAUUAGAGUAGUAUAGCAUGUAACUGCUUUCCGUUAAUCCUAUUCUGAUGCAUAGCCUGUCAUUGUUGCUACAACUAUUGAUACCUUACAUGCAAUCCUAAAUGCUUAGUAUCUCUGUUGGAAAAGGCAGUGCCUAGGAGGCGCUUAGGCACGCCUAGGCGCUAGGCAAUGGCCAAACGCCUCGCCUAGGGCAUAAGCAGAAGUCUAGGCAGAGCAAGUAAAAAUUGUCUACCCAAGCGAGAAAUCAUGCCAUAUUGCACUGAUAUGCCAAAAGGGCCAUAUUACAAUCGUAGUAGCUGCUCGUUAAGAUACUUAUAUGCCCUAAAUUAAAUAAACAUAUAAUAACCACAUAUACACCAUAAUAGUAAAAAAUUAUAUAACCGCCUAAGCUGCGCCUAGGGCGCUUAACCACCGCCUAGGCACUAGGCGAAGGCUAACCGCCUCGCUUACGCCUACCGCUUUUUCCAACCUUGCUUAGUAUAGGAUGCUAGUUUAUCAUUAGUGGCCCUACACUCUUGUCCGUCUUCCAUGCUAUACUACUGGGCCGUGAUCACUUCGGGAGGUGAUCACGGGCAUAUACUAUAUACUUUACACUGUUACAUUACCGGUGAUACUGUUUGGAGAUGGGGGCUGAAGGGGCGGGUGGCUCCAUCCAGGUAGUGGUGGGCCUGAGUUCCUGAUGGCCCCCGACUGUUACUUUGAGGCGGAGCGACAGGGCAGGUUGAGACCACCUAGAAGAGAGGUGGGACUGGCCCUGGUCGGCGUUCGCGGCUACUUCAAAAUAACACGCUUAACGAUAUCUGUGUAUUUGAUCUGAGUCUGGCUACUGGCCUAUACGCACUAACCAUCUACGCGGGGACAGUUAUGGGCACUUGACGUCGUGGUAUCAGCUGAAGCCUUCGUGACGUCAGCGAUUGAGCGGCGCGCGCUGGAUUGGAACGUAAGCCUGCUCUUGUAUUAAGGGGGGCUAGUUCUGCUUCUGGCCGCCCUCGCAACGUGCAGGUGUGCAAUGAGGGAUGGGCCCAGACCCCUGCGCCAUAGGAUUUAGACCGAUGUGCUGACCUCUCUGUUGUGCCUAGGUAGGGCUACGACGUGUUGAUCUUCUGAGGCCGGGCAUGACCCAGAAAAGUGUGUCCGGACAAAGGGGAUCGAGCGUGUUGGGAAAUGUGGUGCACCCCUGCAGGUAAGUUGAUAUAUUCGAAUAGCCGUGUCCCUCGGAAAAAGGACGACCCGAAGUUGUACCUUGACCUUAUGACAACACCCUUCCAAGUGCCAGAUACAACCCAGUGAUCGCUCUCUAACAGGGCGACGAGGGGAGGAUCACCGGAUAGGUUUAUGCUACACGAUGUUACUUGGUGAACUUACCAUCUACUCUCUUCUCCUGCUGCAAGAUGAAGGUUACCAGAAGCGUAGUCUUCGAAAGGACUAGCUAUCCCCCUCUUAUUCCAGCAUUCUGCAGUUCAGUCCACAUAUGAUACCCCCUUUUUCAUUUGAUACCAAUGCAUACAUAUGUAGUGUAGCUCCUUGCUUGCGAGUACUUUGGAUGAGUACUCACGAUUGCUUUGCUCCCUCUUUUUCCCCUUUCUAUACCCGAUUGUUGCGACCAGACGUUGGAGCCCAGGAGCCAGACGCCACCGUCGACGACGACUACUACUACUCGGGAGGUUCCUACUACUACGUGCAGCCCGCUGACGAUGACCAAGAGUAGUUUAGGAGGAUCCCACGCAGGAGGCCUGCGCCUCUUUCGAUCUGUAUCCCAAUUUAUGCUAGCCUUCUUAAGGCAAACUUGUUUAACUUAUGUCUGUACCCAGAUAUUGUUGCUUCCGCUGACUCGUCUAUGAUCGAGCUCUUGUAUUCGAGCCCUCGAGGCCCCUGGCUUGUAAUAUGAUGCUUGUAUGACUUAUUUUAUUUGUAGAGUUGUG